UAAUAAAUUCUAUUCAAGUAGAAAAACAAACACAUACAUUCUCGCACACUUAAACAUUAGAAAUUCUACUCCGUAUAAGAAAAUUCAGAUAAUAUGCCCCUCCAGACUCCCCUGAUACCUCAUUGCCAGUCGCAUCUGAACCAAAAGCUACAUAUAACUGAGAACCUAACUAAGCUCAAAAUGAAGGACAAUACAUUCAAGAGUUUCACUGGGACAAUACAUUCAAGAGUUUCACUGGGUACCCAUUGCAAGAUCAUGCCAAGUAUCUUCAUUCACCUGUUGAGGCUCCUGGUCUGAAACAAAACAAAAGGAAGGAAAAAAAAAAACCCUUAAAAACAGUUAAAAAGCCAGUAGAUGAAGUCAGAUGGAAAAUAUACAAGAGCAAAAUCUGUGCAUGAUGCAUAACAAAUUAAGAGAACAAACAAUUGACAUUGGUGCACAGAUUACAUGUCUUCCCCAUACUACCAAUCACUGAACAGACAAAACAAAACCUCAAUAUGUGCAAACUUCAUCUUUAUGCAUUCGUUGGACACUGACAAUUACACACAAGCUCAGGUAAGGGGAAGAGAGAAAGAAAAUAUAACAGUUGCAUAUAUAUUAUCACUUAAAAUGAUGUCUGCGCUGUCCAAUAAUAGACAUGUUCGAUGAAGCACCAAAAGCCAUUAAGAUUGGCGGGCAUACUAUAUAUAAAGAAAGUUAUAACCAAAGAGACAUACUUGAGUCUUCAGUAUCAUCAGGUCGAACAACCAGCACUGGUGGCAAUGGGAGAUCUGCAUUAAUACAGAUUUACGAUAAGAACAAAAAUAUGACAAAACUAAAAAAACUACAUCAACCACGUCGAAAGCUGAAUGUGAAAGAAAUGUUACCAUCAUCAGGUAGAGUGUCUCUCAUCCAUUCUUCAUCCACAAUAUCAAUUAGGAUUCCCUGGCUUAGUUCUGCCAUAUCCAAUCUGUACCUGUAACAUCAAUCAAACCACAAACUCAAAUGCGAAAAGCAAAUAGUUGAACUCCAUUGAAAAUAAAUAGAAAUUAAUUAAAAGUUGAAAACCCAUUUAACCAACCUCGAGUUUUAGGCGAGCAAAGAUAAAUAGUAUAAAAAAAAAAAAAAACCACUAAGAGUAAGACAGUUUCAGUUUCAAAGAAGAAAGAACUAAAAUGGCUGUCAAAAAUUGCAGAUUGGCUCCAGUGCGUAAGAUAAGAAACAUCAACAACCAAUUAAAGAGUCUAAUUCACAAGUUAGUUUCUUUCCCCAGAAAGCAAAACAAGAUCAACAUUAUAUGCAUUCAAUCUGAAGAUGAUUAUUCUUAUUAUGUUUGGUAAAAAAUCAGUAACAAUCUAUUAG
RNAcentral lists this long non-coding RNA (1341 nucleotides) under Citrus sinensis (sweet orange). Its description in RNAcentral is "long non-coding RNA (CSIN_LNC002207)". The record is from RNAcentral. Lineage: Eukaryota; Viridiplantae; Streptophyta; Magnoliopsida; Sapindales; Rutaceae.